CUCAAUUAGUUAAAGCACGACACGUAUUCCCAAAGGCAUGCUAGUAUUUUGCCAGUCCAUGCAGACGCAUUCAAAACACUUUACUGUCACUUACAGUUAACUCAACAUAACACCAGAGGAUAUUCCAUUUUGGGUAUUAGCAACCAGCUGUUCGAGACAAUAAACGACUUGGAUCGCAUGGUCUUCGCAGAUGAGUCUCUAGAAGCAAAUGCAAUGUGUACAAAGAAUAAAAUGAAGAAAAAAAGAUGAAUAUGGGAAGCUUAUCUGUGGUUACCACAGAGUCUUUAAGUCCUAAUCACACAGUUGAGUUUAGAAAUAUGCGGGAUACUGAUACAAUCAUUGUGAGAAACUGCAAAACAAGUGGCCUAGGUAUAAAGAUUGUAGGUGGUAAAAGUACAGUUGGAGGUGGAGAUUAUGGAAUUUUUGUGAAGAAAAUUUUAGCUGGAGGUAGAGCAGAAGCAGAAGGUCACUUAAGGGAAGGAGAUCAACUAUUAGAAGUUAAUGGAGAGUCUAUGUUAGGAAUUUCUAAUGACAAGGCAAUAUCCUUACUCAGAAAUGCUGCAGAGACCAAUAAUGUUAAGUUGUUAAUCAGCAGAGAUGGUGAAGCAAGGGAAGACUUUACAGCGUUAAUGGCAGCUUUGAAUGGCAAUGGCUUUGGUAUGCUUAAUGGUCCAGGAGCUUUUGAUCUUAUUAGAAGUGGUAGUAGGGGGAGUUCAAGGGCUUCAACACCUUCACCAACAAUGGGAAAAAGAUCUUGGGUCAUGAGUGCAGGAAGAAUGUCACCAUUGGCAUUAGGAAGACAUGGAAGCCCAAACUGGUCUCCAUCAAACUCUCUUGACAGACCACCACCGAGCUUACAAAGAAUGCAAGCUGUAGACUUAUCAUCUACUGCAGAACUACGAAAUCCUGCUCCAGUAGAUCCACCACCAUACCAAAGAAGUAGGGACAUGUUUCAACUAAAUCUUGGGACAGUGCCUAGCACUAGCUCUUGGAAUGGUGCUUCUAAUAUUCCGUUUUCACAUCAAAUGAAUGGAGACAAUUCCCAUGCAAAUAAAUUCUCCCCAAAACAUGCAGGAACAGAAUUGCAGAGUGACUCGGAGGUGACUAUUGACUCUGGUCUACCAACUGAUCGACACUCAAGUACUCCUUCACCUAACUUUGAUAGUCCUGGUGAGCUACAAGUAAUAAGAAUCCCUAUAACUACAGGACUAGGGUUGUGCAUUGUUGGUGGUACAAAUAGAUCUGAAGGACCUCAUAUUUAUGUUGACAACUUGAUUGAUGGUGGAGAUGCUCAAAAGGAUAACAGAUUGCAGCAAGGAGACCAACUUGUAACAGUCAAUGGGGAGACAUAUGUAGGAGUUACUCAUGAACAGGCAAAAUCUUUGCUAACUCGUUUAAAACUCAGGAAAGACAUAACUGAAAUAGAGAUUGCUUUUAUCCGAGGAGGACACAGCACGCUUGGCCAAUACAGUCCACCAAAUCAUUUAGUGAAUGGAAGUAGCCCUGGAUCAAGUCAUUAUGCUGAGGGUAACAACCAACUAGAAUCACCACCUUUGUCAAGCCGUUCAUCACCAGAUAAUGGUGCAGAUUUAAGUAAUACAGAUUCUGAGUUGAAUGAAAUGUUGCAGACAUCAGGAAGUUCUGGUGAAAUGCACCCAUCUGGAGUUCCAAGAUCAUCUCCCUUUNUCGCUAAUGGAAUGCCUGUUUACUCUAGUAACCAAACACCCAUAACUACCCAACUGUCUAUGCCUCCUCAGUCCCUGAGUCAUGUUCAGAGUGGACUUCACCAACAGCACUUUGCGCAUAGUACCGCAAGCCUUCCCCCUCACGUUAACAAUGGCUUUUAUCCAACAUUGUCUUCAACUCCUACUUCACAUAUGAAUGGAUUACCGAAUGGGCAUCCACUUUCAAUGGCUUACUCUACUCAAGGCCAAAUAAAUGGAUUUGUUCCAGGCAUGCAUCCAACAUCAUCUCAUGGCCAGCAUCAAUUAGGUAAUGGAUCAAUCCAAAUAAGUCCCAUAGCACCCACGCUACAGCCAUCCUCAGUGCCAUUUUACUUACAACAAGAUUUAGAAGCACUCAGACGUGUGUCUGAGCAAUAUCCACCUCCAGCCGUCAGUCAACAAACUUCUCCAUGCAAUGGUAUUCAACGAAGUUCACCAGAAUCAGCAGCACAGUCGCUUUCCCAACGACAAAGAAGAAACAGAAUUGACAGAAGUACUAGGAAACUAUCACUCGAUCCAUAUACGAAACUAAAAGUGGAAAAACUAGAAGUAGCGUUAAGAUAUUUAGGAUUUGAACCGACAGAAGAACAGCAGAGAAUUCUGCGAUCCAGGCUACCAAUCGACCAUAAUGGUUGUACGACGUAUGGAGAUUUCGUAAAUACUGCAAGACAAGUUUUCGCUGUCAAGUUAAAUGAAUCCCAUUUAAAUACUUCCGCUUUUCAGUUUGCCAUCCAGGACAUCAAUGCCAUGGAAAGAAAGAUUCAGUUAGAGUCUCAACAGUCUCAAGAGUCUCAACAGUCNUCCUCAGAAGCAGAAGCAGCAGCAAAGAAGGCAUCAGAAGAUGUCGAGAGACUUCGUCGAGAAAGAGAUGAGGCGCUUAGAGAGGUGCAACAUCUCAGAAAAGCGUUGAAAAGAAAGGAACAAGAGUGCCAGGAAUCUUCAGAAGAAGUUAUGAAAACUCGACGGGAAACCCAAGCGUUACUUGAUGAAAGUCAUUCACUGCAGAAUAGGAUUCAUUUGGCUUCACAGGCGCAAGAAGCAUCAAAAAGUGUGGAGCAAGAUUACGAAGAGAUUAUUAAGCUUCUUGAACAUGAAGUCGAUGACUUAAAACUGAAAAACUCCCAGAAAACGCCUGAUCCUAAAGAAUUGGAAGAACUUCAAAAACGACUUGUAGUUCUGGGCUGUCAACUUCGGAAGGCUGAAGUUAGUAAACGAACAUACGAAGUGUCUAUGGAAAAAUUAAUUCGCUUUGCAGAGCUCGUUCACGAUGUCCUUUCGCAAAACAGCCCUGGGAUGCAUCAGCAAAGGGGAAGAGGGGAGCCUGCAAGAAAGGAUGCAUCAGGCAGUGCUCGCCCACCAUCAUAUCUUGCUCGGCAUGCCAAGCAUAACCCAAAUACCCUUGCAAAAGAAGCAAGAGAUGUUGUUAAGUCAGUAAAAGCACUCAUUGAAGAAGAACCACUUCCAUUUGGUUGGGAAGAAGCAUAUACUCCUGAUGGUGUCAGAUAUUAUAUCAAUCAUGUGACUCAACAAACAUCCUGGCUCCAUCCUGUAACACAUGUCCAACAUCUUCCACCAAUAAUGGAGAAUAAAGAUGAAGGUGUUAAAGAAACCAGAACAUAGCAAGGAACAGGACUUUUUGACUAGAUGCAUAUUUUAUUCUAUUUACAUUUUAAAACCUGAAGACAAAAGCUUUUUUACUGUACAGUCAACAAGGCUAACAUAAUAUUACAUAAGAACUGAUGUUCAGCUUCUCCAAGGAUUUUUAACAUGGCAAAAUUACAUCUGGUUUGACAUAACUUUGGCCACUCAGAUUUUGAAGUUUAUUUGCAAUUUAGUUGGUAGGAACUCAUGACUAGAAUUCAAAUAUUUACUGGAAUUGCAUCUUUAAAUCAAAUACUUUUCAAAAUUUGUAUUCCAGACAAGGUACAGAAUUCAAUUCUCAAAAUUCGUUCCAAAAUGUGAACUUGCAAACUAACUUCACAAAUGGAGUGGCUGAAAUUUCAUGAAAUCAACUGUAAUUGGUAGAGAAAAUCAAGAACUUCUAAGCUUAAAAGGGUUUCAAAUUUCCAAAGUCCAGAGUGGAUAUACCUUGUUUGAAAGUAAUCAUUAAUGGUUCAAUCAUUGUAAGGGNUUCAAAUUUUUCACCAGCUUAUUUCAUGCUAGAUCAAACCUCUAUUCAUUAUGUAAUGAAACCUAUAACAUAGUUUAAGUAUAAUGCAUGCUGUGAUCGNUUAAUUUAUUAGCAUGUGUCAGUGUAUAUACAAAACUCUAUUUACUGCAUGCUAACAUACUUUAGAAACCUCCCUAAUGUGCUAAAGAUUUUAUUGAGAAAUUGAAAGUAUAAUUUUUUAAAUUAACAGGAUUUUUUUUUCAGUUUUCUCAUUUCAUAUUGCAGGGUCAUAGCCACCAGUAUGGUUGGUCUUGUUUUAACUGGACCACUUAAUUUUUACCAUUAGAACCAUGACUGGUCAACUUUUUUUUAAACUGAGUGACUGUCAAAAUGGUGGCUAUGGCUCUGUAUUGUUUAUAUGUAAAUAUUUUUUCAAUAAAUGAGAAAUUUAUGUCAGAUUCUACCCUUAACAUGGAUUAAUUUUCUCUGCAACUUUGCAAAAGUGUUUACACAGUGCAUCGGAGGUGCAGUUUUUGCCAAAAGUAAAAACAAAUUUUACUUUUUGCAUCAAUUGCUGCAGCUCGGCAUUUUUUUUUCAAAUUGGGCUGUAGGCUACAUGCUGCAAUGCUCAAUGCAACUUAUAUCGCAACGCUAUUGGAAGACAAGUUGCAAAACCCAAGUUGCAGAGAAAAUUGCUCCUUGUAGCAAGCCUUUAUACUUUUCAAAAUUACCUCUUGGACAGGAUGCAAACAGGAUAUAAAAAAGAAAUCCCUUUUCCUCAGUGGAAUUUCUUUUUUUAGUUUCCCUUAAGAUAACAGUCUAUAUUUAACAAAGUAACGAACUCCAAUUAACAGUGAUUGUAUCUACUUGGCCAAUCAAGUUUUAUUAAAUUUUCCCCAAGUAAAAUUUAUAUGUCAUAAGAAUUUUCAAAUAAAAAUAUACUUUCCUGUGAAAUGAAAAUUUUUACCACAUUGGUAAAAAUCCUAUUUACAUUUCUUUUUUCAAUGUUUUGAUAUUUUUUUAUUGAUUGGUUGAUUUGUUAUUAUUGCUGUGAAAACUUAGUGCCAAUAGUAUGGCCGGACCAAAUGUUGGAUUAAAUUGCAAAAUAAAGAUAUACAUUUUACACUU
This 4962-nucleotide unclassified non-coding RNA is filed under the name Actinia tenebrosa (Australian red waratah sea anemone). RNAcentral describes it as "uncharacterized LOC116296237, transcript variant X1". Lineage: Eukaryota; Metazoa; Cnidaria; Anthozoa; Actiniaria; Actiniidae. The record is from RNAcentral.